RNAcentral lists this ribosomal RNA (120 nucleotides) under Jaculus jaculus (lesser Egyptian jerboa). The record is from RNAcentral. Lineage: Eukaryota; Metazoa; Chordata; Mammalia; Rodentia; Dipodidae.
GUCUACAGCCAUAUCACCCUGAAUGCAUUCGAUCUCAUGUGAUCUCCAAGGCUGAGCUGGGUUGGGCCUGGUUAGUACGUGGGUCAGAGGGGAGGGGACAGCCCAGGAAGGCCGGGGAGA